Molecule: long non-coding RNA, 552 nt
Organism: Papaver somniferum (opium poppy)
Lineage: Eukaryota; Viridiplantae; Streptophyta; Magnoliopsida; Ranunculales; Papaveraceae
Exons: 3
Source: RefSeq, a predicted model, not a curated record
UUUGGUUCUUUUAAGUUAUUAUUAUUUUUAUUUUUAUUUUGUUUUUGAAUUUGCGGUUCGUUUUUGUUUGUUGUUUACUUUGCAGGAAACGCAAAUACACGAACCAUGAUAAGAGUUAAAGAGACAUCCUGGAGAAAAAUGUUUCUUCCCUUAUCGUUCUUUCUUCAAUCCUCUUUCCUUCGUAAUUUUUUUUGGCAUUUUUUGAUGUCUAAACAGAAAUUCCAUCAGUUUGCUAGUGCACUGUUUUUCUCGGUGAUGCAUAAUUACUCUCACAGGACGCGCAGCGGGAUCGUAAAAAGAUGGGGGAUGGAGGGUGCUUCUCUUCUUCCAAAUCAUCUUAGAUAAUUUUCUCUCUUCUUCUUUCGUGGUGAGUUUCUUUGCUUUUUGGUUUCUUUUAAUAGUGAAAAUAUUCAUUUAAAUGCGGUGAUGUUUAAGAUGUCGUUUAUGAGAAAGAUCAACAAUCCUAAUUGAAGGAAGCCUUUGUUGUACUGCCCCUUUAUGCGUUUAGUUGUAUGAAAAGAAAAGUAUUAAUUUAUUGUGGUUACGGAUAAA